GUAACCGUGCCCUGUACAGGGGGAGUAACAAUCAGAAAUGACUGCUAAUACUGCAUAAGACCACAGCACCGCAUGGUGCAGGGGUAAAAACUCCGGUGGUACAGGAUGGACCCGCGUCUGAUUAGCUGGUUGGUGAGGUAACGGCUCACCAAGGCGACGAUCAGUAGCCGGCUUGAGAGAGUGAACGGCCACAUUGGGACUGAGACACGGCCCAGACUCCUACGGGAGGCAGCAUG
Molecule: ribosomal RNA, 236 nt
Filed under: uncultured bacterium
Lineage: Bacteria
Description: partial 16S ribosomal RNA
Rfam family: Bacterial small subunit ribosomal RNA
Source: RNAcentral